GUGCUCACUUCGGCAGCACAUAUACUAAAGUUGGAAUGAUACAGAGAAGAUUGGCAUGGCCCCCUGCCGAAGGAUGACAGGCAAAUUUGUGAAGUGUUCCAUUUUUUU
Molecule: small nuclear RNA, 108 nt
Filed under: Salvator merianae (Argentine black and white tegu)
Lineage: Eukaryota; Metazoa; Chordata; Lepidosauria; Squamata; Teiidae
Source: RNAcentral